GCUGGGCGCGGUGGCUCACGCCUGUAAUCCCAGCGGCUCGGGAGGCUGAAGCAGGAGGAUUGCAAGUUCAAAGCCAGCCUCAGUAAUGGCGAAGCACUAAGCAACUCAGUGAAACCCUGUCUCUA
RNAcentral lists this small RNA (125 nucleotides) under Marmota monax (woodchuck). The record is from RNAcentral. Lineage: Eukaryota; Metazoa; Chordata; Mammalia; Rodentia; Sciuridae.